GCCCAGAAUCUGACGGUCCAGAACCCAACAGCACGGCUCACAGCCAUCGACAAGACCUAUAAACUGUUGACAGUGUUUUUUUUUAAAAUUAUUAUGAUAAUUAUUAUAACAUAAUUAUUAUUAGAUAUUAUUAUGAUAUAAUUAUAAAUAUAAUUAUAAAAAUAAUAUAAUAUGAAAUAAAAAAAUAAAAGUCAUAAUUGCAGCAACAGG
RNAcentral lists this long non-coding RNA (210 nucleotides) under Elaeis guineensis (African oil palm). RNAcentral describes it as "long non-coding RNA (EGUI_LNC007738)". Lineage: Eukaryota; Viridiplantae; Streptophyta; Magnoliopsida; Arecales; Arecaceae. The record is from RNAcentral.